RNAcentral lists this ribosomal RNA (250 nucleotides) under uncultured bacterium. RNAcentral's name for it is "partial 16S ribosomal RNA". It matches the Rfam family "Bacterial small subunit ribosomal RNA", at positions 525 to 774 of the family's 1533-position model. The record is from RNAcentral.
ACGGAGGGUGCUAGCGUUGUUCGGAAUUACUGGGCGUAAAGCGCGUGUAGGCGGAUUCAGAAGUCGGGUGUGAAAGCCCUGGGCUCAACCCAGGAAGUGCGCCCGAAACCAUGAGUCUUGAGGUCCGGAGGGGAUCGGGGAAUUCCCAGUGUAGAGGUGAAAUUCGUAGAUAUUGGGAAGAACACCGGCGGCGAAGGCGCCGAUCUGGACGGAUUCUGACGCUGAGACGCGAAAGCGUGGGUAGCAAACA